Molecule: small nuclear RNA, 163 nt
Organism: Molossus molossus (Pallas's mastiff bat)
Lineage: Eukaryota; Metazoa; Chordata; Mammalia; Chiroptera; Molossidae
Product: U1 spliceosomal RNA
Exons: 1
Source: RefSeq, a predicted model, not a curated record
AUGCUUACCUGGCUGGGGAGACACCAUGAUCCUGAAGGUGGUUUUCCCAGGGUGAGGCUCAUCUGUUGCACUCUGGGUGUGCUGACCCCUGCGAUUUCCCCAAAAGUGGGAAACUCUCGUGCAUCAUUUGUGCUAGUAGGGGUUACAUUCACACUCUCCCCUG